UAUAAACAGAUUUUCAGCUGCAGGGAUGUCUCAUGGGAUAUCUGAGAUUUGUCUGCAAUUAUUCAUUUUGCAGGUCUGUCCCAUGUAUUGCAAAUUGUCUGGCCUCCCUGCUUUCUGCCUGCUAAACACCAGUAAAACAUCCCAUCACUGUGACAACAAAAGAGACCUUCAGAAAAUGCCAUCUGGAAGCCAGUGUACCCUGCUGAGAGACACAGUUACACGCAAACGCAGAGUGUUUACUACAGGAAAAGAGCGAGAAGAGUGCUGAGCUCCUGUGCUGAUCAGAGUUCAAAACUCAAGCUGUCAGGUCUAAUCACGACAUCCGCCCACUGUGUGUACAAAGGAAAGGAAAUGCCACUGGGACUGCCAUUUCAGUUCACCACCACGAUACCUCCUCUCAGAAUCUGCAGAUUUAUGUAUGAUAUAGCAGAAAAAUGCAAACCGCAGCAUUCCCUGCACGUUACGGGUUUGAAGUGGAUCCUCCCUUGGGGCUCAGGAUGGCUUGCUGGAGUGCUGAGCUACUCCACACGGAAGCCCCCAUCCCUGAGCACCCGCAGAAUACCCGAAGAGCUGCAAGCCACGGGGGACUCAGGCCAGCUCUACAUCUGGUGACCCCUGGGUGUUGCUGCAAAGUCCAAGCUUUGUCCUCUCACCCCUUGGCCCUACAGGAGGGAGGAAGCAUCCUACUGGGAAGAUUCCCUCUGCACCCUCUGCACCCUGGUAUGGAGGUGACCUCGGGACAGAGCCAAGUUCGCUGGAGGUGAAUCACGAAGCCAGUCUGGUGCUGUUUCCUCUCCCAACCUGUUGAGAAAAUGGAAACCCAGCAUUGCCCUGGCCUUGAAAAGAAAUUCGGGUCACUCGGAAUUUGAAUGAGCUAGUGAAUCAAAUGUACCACCGCAAAGAUUCUGGAAACUUUCAGGAGCCUUCUUGCAAACUUCCAAGUGAAUAUCAUUAAGCUCCUCUAGAAGCCUAAGAGAACUAGUGCUCGUUUCUGUGAAAUUAACGUUGAGUUAGGAACCUGGAGUGCACACGUGCAGGCACACACGCAGGUUUCUGUGGAGUUUCUGUCAGUAGGAGAGAAAUCUGGUUUAUUUCCCUUGGAUAAUGAAUUAGCUGGAUUUGUAACAGAAUGGUUGUGAUACCUAUAUGCUACUUUCUUACUAAAAAUAUUGCUAAAUUUCCUAACCCAGCCUUCCAAUAAAAGCAUGCACAGUUUGGUUACUUUUAUUGAUGUUUGGAAGUACGGCUGGAAAACAGGCAGCGGCACGCCUGCUGAUUUCUGUAAAUGCACAUGCUAAAAGUAAACUAAAGAUGUCAAUAAAUAUGCAUGCCAUUCUCUAUAGACAAAUAUUAUAUCUGUUUUCCAGCCUCCUCAGGUGGGAAUAAAAUCACCUCAUACAUAUAAACAUGACUUAGUAAUUUACUUUUUACGUUCAAAGAAACCCUUCGGAAUAAAGAAGAGUUUUUGAAAUAUUGAUGUCCAAAGUGUUUUGAGAUACAUUGAAUUCUAGACUUCAUUAUUCAGUAGAGCUUGCCCAAUGGAAACCAGUUAAGCAGCCUCAGGAUCCUGGCGUUUUGGGCCCCUAUAAGGUGCUUUAGAAUGAAUUAUCCUAUUUUUCUGACACAUUCGUAAUCUUUUAUUUAUAAUAAAAGAAAUGAUUAAAAGAUUUACGUUGACCCUUGAACAACGUGGCAGUUAGGGCCACUGGCCCCCUGCACAGUCGAAAAUCCACAUAUAACUUUUAGGACUCUAAAAAUGUACCUGCCAAUAGCCUAUUAACUGGAAGCCCUGCUGAUGACAUAAGCAAUAGAUUAUAACACGUAAUUUGUGUGUUGUAUGUAUUAUAUACUGUAUUCUUACAGUAAAGUAAGCUAGAGAAAAGAAAAUGUUAUUAAGAACAUCAUAAGAAAGAGAAAUAUAGUACAUUUUCUUUUCAUUAGGUAGAAGUGGAUGCUCAUAAAGGUCUUCAUCCUCAUCAUCUUCACGUUGGG
Microcebus murinus (gray mouse lemur) is the source of this 1992-nucleotide long non-coding RNA. NCBI's taxonomy places the organism in Eukaryota, Metazoa, Chordata, Mammalia, Primates, Cheirogaleidae. The record is from Ensembl.